AUGGUUCGCAGGGCUGAAGCCGGCUGGUCGCUGCGCUUGCUGAAGCGUUGGCAUCCCUCACAUUUGAGGACUAGUGACUCAGUGUCUUGGAGGGUCGUGGCAUUUCUCCUUUUUUUUCCACCCCAGGCUUUGCAACAUUUUGAAAUCAGGAAAUUGCGACAAGCCAAGAAAAUUGCUUCCGCGCCGAGAACCGAAGAUUGUGUGGGUUGUAAGAGAUGUCAAUCUGCCUACCCGACAGAUUUUCUAGUAGAAGACAUGGCGGAAAGCCUUGGCCACUAG
Molecule: ribosomal RNA, 279 nt
Filed under: Triticum aestivum (bread wheat)
Lineage: Eukaryota; Viridiplantae; Streptophyta; Magnoliopsida; Poales; Poaceae
Description: partial small subunit ribosomal RNA
Source: RNAcentral